RNAcentral lists this transfer RNA (63 nucleotides) under Shigella dysenteriae 1. RNAcentral's name for it is "partial tRNA-Ser". Lineage: Bacteria; Pseudomonadati; Pseudomonadota; Gammaproteobacteria; Enterobacterales; Enterobacteriaceae. The record is from RNAcentral.
GAGCACGCCUGGAAAGUGUGUAUACGGCAACGUAUCGGGGGUUCGAAUCCCCCCCUCACCGCC